This 150-nucleotide unclassified non-coding RNA is filed under the name soil metagenome. RNAcentral describes it as "partial internal transcribed spacer 1". The record is from RNAcentral.
CCGAGUUAUACAACUCAUCAACCCUGUGAACAUACCUAUAACGUUGCCUCGGCGGGAACAGACGGCCCCGUAACACGGGCCGCCCCCGCCAGAGGACCCCCUAACUCUGUUUCUACAAUGUUUCUUCUGAGUAAACAAGCAAAUAAAUUA